Molecule: unclassified non-coding RNA, 265 nt
Filed under: Borreliella burgdorferi (Lyme disease spirochete)
Lineage: Bacteria; Pseudomonadati; Spirochaetota; Spirochaetia; Spirochaetales; Borreliaceae
Description: partial contains 5S-23S ribosomal RNA intergenic spacer and 23S ribosomal RNA
Rfam family: Bacterial large subunit ribosomal RNA (bases 136-265)
Source: RNAcentral
UAUUGGUGUUUUUGAAUGUGUUGUUUAAAUAACAUAAAAAAUAAAAUAUAUAUAUUGACAUGCAUUAAACAAAGAUAUAUAUUAUUUUAUGUUGUAUAAAUAAAUUGGCAAAAUAGAGAUGGAAGAUAAAAAUAUGGUCAAAGUAAUAAGAGUCUAUGGUGAAUGCCUAGGAGCUUUAAGGCGAAGAAGGUCGUGGUAAGCUGCGAAAAGCUUGGGGGAGAAGCAAACAUUUAUUGAUCCCAAGAUUACUGAAUGGAGUAAUCCA